Non-coding RNA from Podarcis lilfordi (Lilford's wall lizard), 73 nucleotides. NCBI's taxonomy places the organism in Eukaryota, Metazoa, Chordata, Lepidosauria, Squamata, Lacertidae. The record is from the annotation of a GenBank genome assembly.
GGGGGUAGAUGCUCAGUGUUUGAGCAUCUGCUCAGCAUGCAGAGGGUGCCGGGUUCAAGUCACAGUAUCUCCA